Molecule: ribosomal RNA, 455 nt
Filed under: uncultured bacterium
Lineage: Bacteria
Description: partial 16S ribosomal RNA
Rfam family: Bacterial small subunit ribosomal RNA
Source: RNAcentral
UGGGGAAUCGUUCCGCAAUGGACGAAAGUCUGACGGAGCAACGCCGCGUGUAUGACGAAGGCCUUCGGGUUGUAAAGUACUGUCUUUGGGGACGAACGGUAUCUAUGUAAAUAAUGCAGAUACAUGACGGUACCCAAGGAGGAAGCCCCGGCUAACUACGUGCCAGCAGCCGCGGUAAUACGUAGGGGGCGAGCGUUGGUCCGGAAUCAUUGGGCGUAAAGGGCGCGUAGGCGGGUCAUUAAGGUCUGGUGUGAAAGGCAGGGGCUCAACCCCUGGAAGGCACCGGAAACUGGUUAUCUUGAGGACAGGAGAGGAAAGCGGAAUUCCACGUGUAGCGGUGAAAUGCGUAGAUAUGUGGAGGAACACCAGUGGCGAAGGCGGCUUUCUGGACUGUAACUGACGCUGAGGCGCGAAAGCGUGGGGAGCAAACAGAUUAGAUACCCUGGUAGUCCACG